UGUACCAUUAUAUACUCUCUAGAAUACGUGCUUCCCGGAAAUGUUUUUUUUUUUUUUAAUAUAUAUCUCUCAUAGUUUUCUUGUAUAACGUUGUUAAAUAUGGUGUUAUAAAUUGUCAAGUCGGCUUAUUUGCAUGAAAAUGAUCAUGAUGCACAGUGCUGUGUACAUGCAUAUGCAUUAUUCAGCAAAUGAUUGAAAGAUAUGUGUGCAGGGAAAUCAAAAUAAAUAAAUGUGUUAAUAAUUUUGUCUAUUGCAAUAUGCUGCGUUAAAAUUACAAAUAACAAUAUGGUUAACAUGUUAUAUCGAGGGUAGAUAAACAUGGCUGACGCACUAAAAAGCAAUUAUAAUCUCAAUUAUAAUAAUUAAAAUAUUUGUUUAUUCAGAAUGUAUAAUUAGAAAGGAUUAAUCUGUAAUCAGUUUUUAAACUCAAUAAAUUAUUCAAAUUAUCCUUCUGGGUGCUCUUAAUUGAUACACAUGGACCAUACAUGUAUGUGCACAGUAACGAACUGAAUCGACACCGCUUCCUGUAAAAACAUUGUCGACUCGAAUUUACUCGGGAGUUUUUGACAACAACAUUUGCAGCGAUCAUCAGUAUUCUAGCUACAAUCCACAUGAAAAGUGUGGUUUGGACAGCAGCGAGCUCCAGCAGGGAUGAUGACCUCUUUAGUGAUGAAGAUGUGAUGUCUUACACCUACUGGGACGACAACCAGCUUUGGGCCUUGGCGCUUGCACAUGCAGCAUGAAGCAUGUCCUCUAGAUGUGCUGGGAAAUGGGAGAGGAAUGCAUGGAGGACUCGGAAUGGAGGAGCUUCAGUGGAUUGUGCUGGAACCUGCUGUACCCUGCUGGGGAUACUGGUUUUCUUUUUGAUGUGAUGCUGGCACAUACAUCUGCAUUUGUUACAGAGAAAGUCACUGUGUGAUGGAGUCCUUCCUGUUAAUUUGGCAAUAAAAGCUCUAUUUCUAGACAAUAUAAUGUGCCUAUCCUUCUGUCUUACUCUUUUAGGACAGUUGAAACAGCCAUAGUGUUUUUGACCAGAACCUGGCAUUUCUGAAAUAUUUAUUUUAAUAAAAUACAU
This is a long non-coding RNA of Magallana angulata, 1075 nucleotides long. RefSeq lists it as uncharacterized. The transcript has 2 exons. The record is from RefSeq and is a predicted model, not a curated record. Lineage: Eukaryota; Metazoa; Mollusca; Bivalvia; Ostreida; Ostreidae.